AUUUUAUUAUAAUAAAAGGCAAGGGAUAGUGUUGACAACAUUUAUGAUCGCUUCUCAGGGCUCUGAGCUUACUUAUCUUUUUAAGAGCACUCGUUAAUUAAAAAAAAAAACAGGAGCAGUCAUUCAGCGAAAUUCGCCGCAUUUGUGGAGUGGACGCUGGCGAGAAAUGGAUCUCCGUUCCCCACCUGUUCCCAGGGAUUGAUCGCCAGUGCCACUCCGGACCCAGAUCCCAGCCCACCAUCUCCCCGAUGUGCGGAGCCCAUGCCCGAGCCCGCCACUGACAGAAAGCCAGAGCCCACCGCAACCGACAAGCCAUCACCACAUAGAGUGACAGAGCUGGGGACUGCCGUGGAGCCAGUCGCCCUGACGUCAGUCCAGGUGUGUGAGCCGGCAACCCCGCCUGCCAUGAGGGAGAAAGACACGGACGGGGUGAGCGCAGAAAGGAGCUCCGCCCCCUGCACCGCAGCUGAGGGUGAGCUGGAUAUGGUGCACCAAAAGGGCCAAAAUGAGGAAGUGGAUCUUAUAGACUGGGAAUCGGAACUGGAAGUUGAACUGCCCCCUCUUCUCUCUCCGCCGUCUCCGUUGGUCCCAACCAGCCCUCCUUCGUCUUUGGUUUCCUCCUCCAGCCCUGAGGGGGCUUCCAGUUCUCCAGUGCCUGCUCCUAGAAUGUGUCUUCCAGUGCCAGCUCCUAGAAUGUGUCCUCCAGUGCCAGCUCCUAGAAUGUGUCCUCCUGUGGCCGCUCCUCCAAAAUGCCUGCCCUCCCACCCGCUCCUGCCUCCUCCACCUCUGUCAUCUGGCAGCCCCUCUGCUCGCCCUCAGUCCACCAUUAUUGUGGUGCGAGCUCCGCGAGACUGCCAUCCUCCAGAGUCGCCGUGGUUGGCGUCUCCCUCACCUCCGCCUCCUGCCUCCGAGGCCUGGACUCCACCUCGACCCAUCAGCUCCACCAUGGCUCCUAGCUCCCUCCUCUCCGCUGUGGCCCAGCUGUACACAAGCUCCGCCUGGCUCCCUCGUCCCUCUGGCUCCGCCUUGGUCUGGCGUCGAACGUCCUGCUCCUCGGGACUCCACUUCUCUGGCUUCCCCUCAUCCCUCCAUCACUCUGGCUCCGUCAGGCUCCUUCAUCCCCUCGGCUCCACCUCAGUCCUCUGUCCACCGUGGCCUCCCGGAUCCACAUCUCCACAUCGGUCGCCGGUGCCAUCAGUUCUGCCUAGGAUCUCUGGAUCCUCCCUGUCACCUUGAAUCUUUGGCUCUCCGCCUCGGGCUCCUCCU
Molecule: long non-coding RNA, 1266 nt
Organism: Cyprinus carpio (common carp)
Lineage: Eukaryota; Metazoa; Chordata; Actinopteri; Cypriniformes; Cyprinidae
Source: Ensembl